Molecule: ribosomal RNA, 393 nt
Filed under: uncultured bacterium
Lineage: Bacteria
Description: partial 16S ribosomal RNA
Rfam family: Bacterial small subunit ribosomal RNA
Source: RNAcentral
AUACGGAGGAUGCAAGCGUUAUCCGGAUUUAUUGGGUUUAAAGGGUGCGCAGGCGGGCUGUUAAGUCAGCGGUGAAAUCUCCCGGCUCAACCGGGGAACUGCCGUUGAUACUGGCAGCCUAGAGUACAGACGGCGCCGGCGGAAUGUGUCAUGUAGCGGUGAAAUGCUUAGAUAUGCCACAGAACACCGAUCGCGAAGGCAGCUGGCGAGGCUGGUACUGACGCUCAGGCACGAAAGCGUGGGGAUCAAACAGGAUUAGAUACCCUGGUAGUCCACGCAGUAAACGAUGAGGACUUGUUGUCGGCGAUAGAAUGUCGGUGACAAAGCGAAAGCGAUAAGUCCUCCACCUGGGGAGUACGAGCGCAAGGUUGAAACUCAAAUGAAUUGGCGGGG